UACGGGGGGGCAAGCGUUGUUCGGAAUUACUGGGCGUAAAGGGCGCGUAGGCGGCCUGCUAAGUCGGAUGUGAAAUCCCUCGGCUCAACCGAGGAACUGCAUCCGAUACUGGCGGGCUUGAAUCCGGGAGAGGGAUGUGGAAUUCCAGGUGUAGCGGUGAAAUGCGCAGAUAUCAGGAGGAACACCGGUGGCGAAGGCGGGUCUCUGGGCCGUAACUGACGCUGAGGAGCGAAAGCGUGGGGAGCGAACAGG
RNAcentral lists this ribosomal RNA (252 nucleotides) under uncultured bacterium. RNAcentral describes it as "partial 16S ribosomal RNA". It matches the Rfam family "Bacterial small subunit ribosomal RNA", at positions 524 to 776 of the family's 1533-position model. The record is from RNAcentral.